RNAcentral lists this ribosomal RNA (585 nucleotides) under uncultured bacterium. Its description in RNAcentral is "bacterial SSU rRNA". It matches the Rfam family "Bacterial small subunit ribosomal RNA", at positions 338 to 916 of the family's 1533-position model. The record is from RNAcentral.
CCUACGGGAGGCAGCAGUGGGGAAUAUUGGACAAUGGGGGCAACCCUGAUCCAGCCAUGCCGCGUGUGUGAAGAAGGCCUUCGGGUUGUAAAGCACUUUAAGCGGGGAGGAAGGGCUUUGGGUUAAUAACCUGGAGCAUUGACGUUACCCGCAGAAUAAGCACCGGCUAACUCUGUGCCAGCAGCCGCGGUAAUACAGAGGGUGCAAGCGUUAAUCGGAAUUACUGGGCGUAAAGCGCGCGUAGGCGGUUGUGCAAGUUGGAGGUGAAAUCCCCGGGCUUAACCUGGGCACUGCCUUCAAAACUGCACGGCUAGAGUAUGGGAGAGGAAGGUAGAAUUCCAGGUGUAGCGGUGAAAUGCGUAGAGAUCUGGAGGAAUACCGAUGGCGAAGGCAGCCUUCUGGCCUAAUACUGACGCUGAGGUGCGAAAGCACGGGGAGCAAACAGGAUUAGAUACCCUGGUAGUCCAUGCCGUAAACGAUGUCAACUAGUUGUUGGGAGACUUGAUCUCUUAGUGACGCAGCUAACGCAUUAAGUUGACCGCCUGGGGAUACGGUCGCAAGACUAAAACGUCAAAGGAUUAACGG